RNAcentral lists this ribosomal RNA (390 nucleotides) under uncultured Bacteroidota bacterium. RNAcentral describes it as "bacterial SSU rRNA". It matches the Rfam family "Bacterial small subunit ribosomal RNA", at positions 568 to 957 of the family's 1533-position model. The record is from RNAcentral. Lineage: Bacteria; Pseudomonadati; Bacteroidota.
UCCGUAGGUGGACAGAUAAGUCAGAGGUGAAAUCCUGCAGCUCAACUGUAGAACUGCCUUUGAUACUGUUUGUCUUGAGUUACUGUGAAGUGGUUAGAAUGUGUAGUGUAGCGGUGAAAUGCAUAGAUAUUACACAGAAUACCGAUUGCGAAGGCAGAUCACUAACAAUUAACUGACACUGAUGGACGAAAGCGUGGGUAGCGAACAGGAUUAGAUACCCUGGUAGUCCACGCCGUAAACGAUGGUCACUAGCUGUUCGGAUUUCGGUCUGAGUGGCUAAGCGAAAGUGAUAAGUGACCCACCUGGGGAGUACGUUCGCAAGAAUGAAACUCAUAUGUAUUUGACCGGGGGCCCGCAACAAGCGUGGAGCAUGUGGUUUAAAUUCGAUGA